RNAcentral lists this long non-coding RNA (1383 nucleotides) under Struthio camelus australis. RNAcentral describes it as "lncRNA (ENSSCUG00000006002.1)". Lineage: Eukaryota; Metazoa; Chordata; Aves; Struthioniformes; Struthionidae. The record is from RNAcentral.
CAUUCACGCCAAUGCUACCAGUAGCCCGUAGCCCAGUGCAGCAAUUACUCUUUAUCCUCCCUCUNNNNNNNNNNNNNNNNNNNNNNNNNNNNNNNNNNNNNNNNNCCCCAGUGACUCCCGAACAACACAGAUACAAAGCCGGCUUCCUCCUUCACCGAGUUCCACUGCUCUUCCUCCACGAAGCAGCUCACGGAGGGUCAGUUUGUCAGGCUGGUUCAGCACAGUCUGGUUCAGUUCGUCAGUGUGGAUCACACAAACGCUUGCGCCAGAAGUGGGGGAAGAAGAGGACAGAUGGUGUGUCCACUUCUUCUGGGGACACCGUGACUCCAUGUGAGUUCAAAGCGUUGGUCAAAGUACACCCUAAAUAUGCCCUGCAUGUGUAGAAAUUAGAAACCAAACACAGAUUCUUCCCACAAAUAAGAACAGUAAUAACAGCCCUAUUAAUUUGUUCAUUUUAGAAUGCUCAGUUGGUAAGACAUGGUCAGUGAAGCUUUUACCAGGCCUUCCAUCCAGGUCUUGUAUGCACAAGCCAAAAAAAAGAUAUUGAAAUAGCUUGAGAAGAGAGCUACAAGACUGUUUACACAAUUGGCAAACCUGCCUCAUCAUGGGAGGCUAAUGAAGCACAAUCAAGGUAUUUCUUCAAGGGAAGGUUUAGAAGAGAGUUGUCUGUGCUCCAGAAGAACCAGUAUGGGGAAGGAAGCGCCCAGAACACGGUUCUUCAAUCUAGCAGAUGAAGCAGGGAAGACUGAGUAGCUGAGAACAACAGAUGGAGAGGUUCAGGUUAAGGAACUGGGUAGAUUUUUUUAGCUAUGCAGCAAAUAAGAAAGAGCCCUCACAUUUCUUGUGAGAGGUUUCCCUGGAUAUUUGGUUUUCUGAGAAACCUGGUGUCUGCUUCUAAGACAUCUUCCUGCCGUAACCCAACCAGAUAGUAGGCAGGGUGCUGGUGACACCAAGGUACCUUCUCUCUGGUGUGAUGUGGUAGAUCCGAGUGUCUAAGAUUCAUGAGCCUGCAAGACACAUGCCAAAGUUGUCACAUGGUGGAAAGCCACCGCUCAGGUCCCACAGAGUUCAGAAAGCCAGUGAAAGAUUUCCAGGGCAGAAAAUACCAGCCUUUCCCCAGGUGCCCUGUUGUUUGAUAGGGCUGGGCUGAGGCUGCAGCUGGUUCCACCGCGAUCUGGGAGAGCUGCCAUCAGCCAUCCUUCCAUGUGGUCAUGCUGCCAGCUGCCCUGCGCCAGCACAGCCCUGUUUGCCAGCUGCAUGAGACUGCCCUGACAUGGAGGGGAGCAGGACAGUGUUUCAAUGACAUGGUACUUCCCCUGGUCAUUUUGGAUGAGAGGGCUGCACCGUCAGCUCUGAGGGCAGUAAAAGUUGUCUCACUGCAGC